This 72-nucleotide transfer RNA is filed under the name Candidatus Micrarchaeota archaeon CG1_02_60_51. RNAcentral describes it as "tRNA-Gly". It matches the Rfam family "tRNA". Rfam says of the family: Transfer RNA (tRNA) molecules are approximately 80 nucleotides in length. Their secondary structure includes four short double-helical elements and three loops (D, anti-codon, and T loops). Further hydrogen bonds mediate the characteristic L-shaped molecular structure. tRNAs have two regions of fundamental functional importance: the anti-codon, which is responsible for specific mRNA codon recognition, and the 3' end, to which the tRNAs corresponding amino acid is attached (by aminoacyl-tRNA synthetases). tRNAs cope with the degeneracy of the genetic code in two manners: having more than one tRNA (with a specific anti-codon) for a particular amino acid; and 'wobble' base-pairing, i.e. permitting non-standard base-pairing at the 3rd anti-codon position. The record is from RNAcentral. Lineage: Archaea; Nanobdellati; Microcaldota. RNAcentral also lists the same sequence under 3 other names.
GCGGCGAUGGUCCAACGGUUAUGAUUCGAGCCUUCCAAGCUCGAGACCCGGGUUCGACUCCCGGUCGCCGCA